UUCUAUCCAUCUAUCUUAUUGACAUCUAAGUAGUGUUUACAUUUGUUAUCACACUGGAACCUUAAGUAAGGUAGAGCGUGUUGCUAAAUGUAUUUACAAUAUGUUACUGUUAAGUUUUUUCCGGGGCAGUGUUCAGCCACGCUGUCCUCUUUUCCCUGUUUAGUUUCAGUGACAUGGAUGGGUUUCUAUUUCAUUUUACUAAGGCUUAAAACUGAGCUAGAACCUAUUAAGGCUCAAGUGUACUAAAGUGAAACCAGCAGCAUCACCCUGCCCACAGUGUCCUAGAUGUAGUUGUCUAAUACAUGAAUUAUGGUGGUGUCUGGUCACAUUAACGCUUCAUUGUUUUUUAUUAUAGGAUGAAAAAUGGCAGGACUGAGACGCAGGAAACCCCCCCUCACGGAUGCGAUCGAACAUGCGAUCGAGACAGUUGACAAUACUGCAAAAUUGGAAGUGAUGUACAUCAACUCUUUUAAAGGUCAAGGGGUCUUUGCCACUGCUCAUUUACAAAAAGGAGACUUUGUGGUGGAGUACAGAGGGAAUGAAUACAUUCUGAAGAAUCACAAAGGAGGAGGAGGAUAUAUAUCAUGUCAGCUGUGCUGUCUUUAUGUUUGACUUCUACUGGCAAGAAUGAACAUGGUGGUUGGAGAGCAAGCUACUGCCACCGAGUCUUCUGAGGCUGAGAUCCCCAGUACGAGUGAGCCAGCUCCUCAGAGAUCUUCAAUCUCCAACACACAGGU
Long non-coding RNA from Gymnodraco acuticeps, 737 nucleotides. RefSeq lists it as uncharacterized. The transcript is spliced from 3 exons. Lineage: Eukaryota; Metazoa; Chordata; Actinopteri; Perciformes; Bathydraconidae. The record is from RefSeq and is a predicted model, not a curated record.